GUCAGGCAGUAUCAAAUACUAUUAAAAAUAAUGACCAUAAAAACGUAACAACAAAUGUGCAAUUUACAAUCAAGCGUCAAUAAAAAGCUUAAGAGAACAAAUUUUAAUGGGGCUUAAGAUAAGGGUUGAGAUGGGAAAGGAGUUAGGACAAUGUUAGGAAGGAUCUAGGAAGAAGGACCAAGAGCAUGAGACAACUUCCUGAGAAAUAUGGCCAUCCACUCAUUUUCAGCAGCAUAAGCUUUAAGAUUCUGCUGAGUCAAAUCUUCAUUCUUUUCAAUCAAGGCUUCAACUCUUGUUUCUUGCAUCUUCACCCUUUCCUGCAGGCCUGCAUUUUAAGCAUUCAACUUCCUAACUGAAAUAGUUCCCUCUUUACCUCCGUUCACAGAUGUUGCCUUCAGUUCAGUAAUCUCAGCAUCUCUCUGAGCAACAAGGGUUUAUAUAGCAUCAAGCUCCUCCCUCAGACUUUUCUGAAUAUCAAUCAACUCAGAAACAGUAGUCUAGGACUUUCCACCUGCUCUUCUAGGGAUAUAUUCAUUGUCUUCUAGAGUAGUGAUAUUGAACGUCUGCUAGACAAAAUCAGCCUUUCCCUUUUCACAUUCAACAUUAAAAUAUGAAAAGACCCGUUUUAGCCGGAAUCCAUAAACUAACCCAUGCUUUCCAUCUUUUACAGUCAUGACAGUGUUGAUGUUUUCAAUCAUAAUUAAUGGAAGAUUGACUUUCUGGUAUUUGUACUAGACUUCCAUAAGGUAUAGAUCAGGUCCAGUCACAUUAGACUUGACCAGACUUGAAGGAAGACUCAGACUUGUCAGCAGAUGGGAUUUUGGAGAUUAUUCCAACCCCUGAUCAGAAGGAACUAGUUGGUUAGAGGUUGGGUCUUUGGAAAAGAAACCUUGGGGUCUUCUUAUAUUUUUUUGGAAGGGUUAUUUCGAGGAUCAUUUUUAGGGAUUGUGUUUUUAGACGAAUGAACUUUGGGGUCUUCUUAUUUAUCUGGAGGGGAGUUAAUUUGGGAGUCAGACCUAGCAUCAGUAUUAUGAUCCUUUUUAGUGAAGGUCAUUAGUUGUUUCUUUCUUCUCCUGAGUGUUGAAAUCUCUAGCAAUUUUUCUACGAGAAAGAGGAGUAAACGUUGAAAUGGAAAAAGAAUUCUCUGUUUCAAAGUCAAAAGGGAUAGAUUGAGUAUCAAACACUUUCAAUGGAAUAGGCUCAUCCUUUUGAGAGAAUGUGGGAGGGUUUGACAUUGUAAGGAUUUGGUAGACUGAGAUGGAUGAAGCAAGAUAAAAUCUAUAAGGAACGGUUUGGGAAAUGAUAGGUUGUAGGAGAGAG
RNAcentral lists this long non-coding RNA (1320 nucleotides) under Capsicum annuum. RNAcentral describes it as "long non-coding RNA (CANN_LNC017933)". Lineage: Eukaryota; Viridiplantae; Streptophyta; Magnoliopsida; Solanales; Solanaceae. The record is from RNAcentral.